Molecule: ribosomal RNA, 234 nt
Filed under: Staphylococcus pettenkoferi
Lineage: Bacteria; Bacillati; Bacillota; Bacilli; Caryophanales; Staphylococcaceae
Description: partial 16S ribosomal RNA
Rfam family: Bacterial small subunit ribosomal RNA
Source: RNAcentral
UUUAUGGAGAGUUUGAUCCUGGCUCAGGAUGAACGCUGGCGGCGUGCCUAAUACAUGCAAGUCGAGCGAACAGACGGGGAGCUUGCUCCCCCGACGUUAGCGGCGGACGGGUGAGUAACACGUGGGUAACCUACCUAUAAGACUGGAAUAACUCCGGGAAACCGGGGCUAAUGCCGGAUAACAUGUUGAACCGCAUGGUCCUACAGUGAAAGACGGUCUUGCUGUCACUUAUAG